RNAcentral lists this ribosomal RNA (28 nucleotides) under Korthalsia jala. RNAcentral describes it as "partial 26S ribosomal RNA". The record is from RNAcentral. Lineage: Eukaryota; Viridiplantae; Streptophyta; Magnoliopsida; Arecales; Arecaceae.
GCGAUCCCAGGUCAGGCGGGCCACCCGC